This 497-nucleotide ribosomal RNA is filed under the name uncultured bacterium. Its description in RNAcentral is "partial 16S ribosomal RNA". It matches the Rfam family "Bacterial small subunit ribosomal RNA", at positions 28 to 507 of the family's 1533-position model. The record is from RNAcentral.
GAUGAACGCUGGCGGCGUGCCUAAUACAUGCAAGUCGAGCGAACGGACGAGAAGCUUGCUUCUCUGAUGUUUGCGGCGGACGGGUGAGUAACACGAGGAUAACCUACCUAUAAGACUGGGAUAACUUCGGGAAACCGGAGCUAAUCCCGGAUAAUCUUUUGAACCGUAUGGUUCAUAAGUGAAAUACGGUCUUGCUGUCACUUAUAGAUGGAUCCGCGCUGCAUUAGCUAGUUGGUAAGGUAACGGCUUACCAAGGCAACGAUGCAUAGCCGACCUGAGAGGGUGAUCGGCCACACUGGAACGUAGACACGGUCCAGGCUCCUACGGGAGGCAGCAGUAGGGAAUCUGCCGCAAUGGGCGAAAGCCUGACGGAGCAACGCCACGUGAGUGAUGAAGGUCUUCGGAGCGUAAAACUCUGUUAUUAGGGAAGAACAGAUGUGUAAGUAACUGUGCACAUCUUGACGGUACCUAAUCAGAAAGCCACGGCUAACUACGUG